CCGAGUUCCAUCCACCCGCCACCCGCCACCCACGACCCACCUACCGAAAGGCAACGGAAUCACAUUUCUUGAAAGCUGAAUUUGUGUCAUCUCCGCUUCCUCCAUAGCGAAACUUCAUCAGGUAUUCUUGGCUGCACCUUUACGAUAAUUUGAUUCUUGAGCUCAAGAAAUCGCAUUAUUUCGGAGAAGAAAUGGUUUAUCACUCUAGCUUUGUGGAUGAGGAAGGAAUUAGAAAAGCUUGUGGGUGCCCUUUACUUCCUUUGAAAAGCCAUAUAAAGGGUCCUGCUCCAGUUUCAGAUCAAGAUAGAACUGAUAUAGUUGAUGAAGCAAUCACAUUCUUCCGUGCUAAUGUUUUCUUUAAAAACUUCGAUAUUAAGAGCCCAGCUGAUAAGCUUCUUAUUUAUUUGACUUUCUAUAUCAAUGUGGCUUUGAAGAGGCUUGAAGGAUGUAGAACAUUGGCUGAAGGGACCAAAGCAAUCAUUAAUUUGGGUCUGGAAAAGGUUCCUGUGCCUGGAGAAUCUGGAUUUCCAUUUCCUGGUCUUUUUGUGAGUCCUGAAUCUCAAAAGGAAGCAGGUGGAGUUGAUUCAUAUUCUAGUUUUAUUUUGGGUGUUACAUUCUGAGAACAUAUUGAAGUUACAUCUCUCCUAUUAUGUUUGCACCCUGCAAAUUUCUUUAGUUUGUUGGCAAAAUUUACAUGCCUUGUUUUAGAUAACCUUUGCCAUUUUAAUGAGUCAUAAGGAAAUGAACAUUGACUUCAUCUUCAAUCUGGCUUCAAAGCACCAAAAUGUAAGGGGAAGGUUGUUUGUUUUUUAAAUGAUUGCAUUAACCAACUGGACUUUCCAAGAAUUCAGAGAAUGAUCACUUUUUUGGUUUUACUGCUUGAAUGACACCAAAUUUCUUUCAAGUAACUACUUUAAACUAAUUUUGUGUGUCAAUUUCUUUGAUACUAUAGGGACUGUGAGUUCAAUUUUCUCUUCUGCUCCUUCAUUUACCUUUAAAGCAACAGGUCACCAUUAUGGCCUUCGGGUCCUGUUGCUUAUGAAUGACCCAUAUGUUGGUAACCAUCUUGUGUUAUGGACAUUAUGAUUUACUUCUCAAAACAUGAAGAUUGUGUCUUUUCCCUUCCAUAAAUAUUUUAUCUGCUUAGAAUAUAAUCUUUAUUGGGAUUGUGUUUCAUAUUUUGAAGUUCCUGUCGUACCAUCAUUUAGGAAGUCUUCUUAAGUCUGGCCAUAUUAAAUUACGAAAAUGUUCUUAGCUAUAGAUUCUGGAACCACAAUAUGACGAGUAAAUAACAUAUAAUAUUGUUGCUUUGUCUCACUCUAAUAAUUGUAAUUGAGAAUUCUUGAUGCGAGACCAUAAUUCUGAAAGGUCUGACCUAUGAAGGUCCUUGUUUUUGGCCCUUUUUGAAGGUAGUUUGAAGUUUUGUGGUUCCAUGUUAAGAGCCUACUAUUUCUACCUUUUGUGGACUAAAUUCUUUUGGAUAUUUGUGUUCUUGAAUUCUUACAUGCAGAGCUGUUUAGAAAUUAUCUGAAGCAGAUAAGGGAAGAAACAAGUGGAAGAUUAUUGAGUGUUGCGUAUAGACAUAAUGGGACUCCAAACAAAUGGUGGUUGGCUUUUGCUAAGAGGAAAUUUGUGAAUGUCAUUGCUUUAUAAGUACUUUGUUAGAGAUAUCCUGUUAGAAAAGUGGCAUGUAAUAGGAGACUAGUUAAUAUCACAACAAUUACCUGUGAAUAUUUACUGUUAUCAAAUCAUGGAGUGCAAGCAUGUCAAGCAUUAGGAAAACUAAUUUGUUUGUGUGCAUUGUUGUCUCAUAACUGCCGCAUUUGGCAUUUUAGAUGACCAUAUAUUUUUGUGCAUGAAGUUUGUAUUCUUUAUUCAUUUUUCUUGAAGGAAAAGGAGGCAUAAAAGCCUUAUGCAUGAAAAAUCAUUUGUGGGAUGUAUCUGUGUCUACCUAGGUGAAUUUGAGGAUUCAUGCCAGGAUACAUAACAUGUGCCUUGUGUUUUCAUCUUUGUUUGUAUAUCAUUUAAUGGAUAGCAUUGGGCCGUAUUGUGUUGUUUUCCUAAAUCAUAUCGUUCAUCUACAUUGUAACUGAUAUGAUACAAGGAAUUGGAGAGGGGAAGGUUUUCAUUUCUUUGCCAUUUGAAUGAGGUGUAGCUACUGCAGAUGCUCCUGUGGAAAGGGCAUGCGCGUUUGUUCAGAUGUUUCUGGGCUCCAGAUUCAUAAGAAGUUUCCCUGUGAGCUGUGAGAACCCUUUUUUUUUUCCUUUUUUGCAUCAGUAUCUGCUUGGACACCAAGACAUGUAGUCUCAGCCUAUAGUUGACAUACAAUAAAUUGAUUUCUAGUGGAAGCUUAGAGUAGAAUGUACAUGAACACUGGUUUUAACAUUCUGCGUUAAUAUUUUCAUUGUACUUGGAGGCAGGUUUUAACUAGGUCAGGCCAAGGUCAAGGAUAAACCCAGUAUUUUAGUGGUAAUUUGUAGAAAAUGUCUUAUAAUACUUUAAAUUAUUUUUAUAUUUAUCUCUAACCUGUUAUCUUCUUACAAAUGCAAACUUUGGCCUCAAAUAUCAAAUUAUGCAAACAAGCAGCAAGAUAUUUUCAUUGUAAUUUUUUUUUAUACAAAUGACUUUAAUUGAACUUAAAUUUGAGAUCUCAUAGUUUUGAA
RNAcentral lists this unclassified non-coding RNA (2663 nucleotides) under Hevea brasiliensis (rubber tree). The record is from RNAcentral. Lineage: Eukaryota; Viridiplantae; Streptophyta; Magnoliopsida; Malpighiales; Euphorbiaceae.